CUUUGGUGUUUCUGUAAAUCCACGGGAGAUGACGGUUGGUCCCCGUAUCGCCCAAGGAUAAGGACACUUAUCUCUCAAAAUUGCAGUCCUGAGAGACAUCGGCAGGUCGGCUGAGGCACGGAGCGGCUUCUCGUCCCGCUGCGCCUGUUUGAUAGACGAUGGCGGCGCGAGCACUUUGCUCUCCGUGUGGAAACACGUCACAGACUCCGGGGGCCGGUGGAGGCAAACAUGGGGCCCCCUGAUUAGGAACCAAUGACAGAACUACUGGCAGGGACAAAAAUGUUGGUGGUUUAUCGAAUGCACGUUUGUUUUCUACCUCUCAAAUGUGAGGAUGCGCCGCUUUUUCUCUGUCUGAUGUCGUCAAAUAUGCUAAAAAAGUUUCUUAUGGAGAUCUUGGAUGAUAAUGCUGUUCUUUUCCUGUUAACCAAAAGCGUCUUGGCUUCUCCUCCACAAAUGUUCAACCUGCAUCCAGGAACAAAGGUGCAGUGACUUUUCCUCUGCAGAAUCCAUUACAAAGCUCUUUAACUGGUGCUUCCAUGAACUAAGGAGCGUCGAUAAUAUUCUGUCUUUUCUCUCUUGUCCCCCAAAGUGUUUUAGAUGUUUUAAUAUCAUCCCAGAUUCCUGUAACGCACUGUAUUAAGAUAUAAAGCUCGGGUUGCUAAUGUUGACUAACUAGCGUACCGGAUCGCCGAAGUCGCUAAAGAAAAAAAAAGAAUCUGUUUAAUUUGCCCCUUUAUAAAUUGUUCCAUUUAUUAGUGGAGAACAAAGAACACAUGGAGUUAAUUGUCAUGUCUAAUCUUAAUUAGUCUGGAGUUCUGCCCACAUUCUCUAAGGCCACCCAACUAAACUCCGUCCACUAGAAUAAUGGAAAUACUCACUUGUGCUUCAACUAGUAGAUUCUGUCUUUACCUGCUGUCAUUUAUCACCAAUGCUCAUGUGUACGUGCGACCACACAAUGACAGAAAUAAGCC
Molecule: long non-coding RNA, 971 nt
Organism: Gasterosteus aculeatus aculeatus (three-spined stickleback)
Lineage: Eukaryota; Metazoa; Chordata; Actinopteri; Perciformes; Gasterosteidae
Source: Ensembl